AGCUUUGAGAAGUGGCAGUAUCGUAGCCAAUGAGGUUUAUCCGAGGCGCGAUUAUUGCUAAUUGAAAACUUUUCCCAAUACCCCACCAUGACGACUUGCAAUAUAGUCGGCAUUGGCAAUUUUUGACGGUCCUUACGGGGA
RNAcentral lists this small nuclear RNA (141 nucleotides) under Prolemur simus (greater bamboo lemur). Its description in RNAcentral is "U4 spliceosomal RNA (ENSPSMG00000007567.1)". It matches the Rfam family "U4 spliceosomal RNA". Rfam says of the family: U4 small nuclear RNA (U4 snRNA) is a component of the major U2-dependent spliceosome. The structure of U4 snRNA from yeast and human has been reported. The record is from Rfam by way of RNAcentral. Lineage: Eukaryota; Metazoa; Chordata; Mammalia; Primates; Lemuridae.